GGGAAUAUAGCUCAGGAGGUCAGAGCACGGUUCUUAUAAAGCCGAAGUCGGUGGUUCGAGUCCACCUAUUCCCA
Molecule: transfer RNA, 74 nt
Filed under: Candidatus Dojkabacteria bacterium
Lineage: Bacteria
Description: tRNA-Ile
Rfam family: tRNA
About the family: Transfer RNA (tRNA) molecules are approximately 80 nucleotides in length. Their secondary structure includes four short double-helical elements and three loops (D, anti-codon, and T loops).
Source: RNAcentral